GGCAACCCUGACGGAGCAACGCCGCGUGGGGGAGGAAUGUCUGUGGAUUGUAAACCCCUUUUCUCAGGGAAGAAGUUCUGACGGUACCUGAGGAAUCAGCAUCGGCUAACUCCGUGCCAGCAGCCGCGGUAAGACGGAGGAUGCAAGCGUUAUCCGGAAUUAUUGGGCGUAAAGCGUCCGUAGGUGGUUAUUCAAGUCUGCUGUCAAAGCGUGGGGCUUAACUCCAUAGAGGCAGUGGAAACUGGAUGACUUGAGUGCGGUAGGGGUCGAGGGAAUUCCCAGUGUAGCGGUGAAAUGCGUAGAUAUUGGGAAGAACACCAGUGGCGAAAGCGCUCGACUGGGCCUGCACUGACACUGAGGGACGAAAGCUAGGGGAGCG
Molecule: ribosomal RNA, 379 nt
Filed under: uncultured cyanobacterium
Lineage: Bacteria; Bacillati; Cyanobacteriota
Description: bacterial SSU rRNA
Rfam family: Bacterial small subunit ribosomal RNA
Source: RNAcentral